UCCGCCUUGCCCUGUGACUAAGUUUAACGGCCGCGGUACCUUAACCGUGCAAAGGUAGCACAAUAAUCGUCCUCUAAAUAGGGACUAGUAUGAAUGGCUUCACGAGGGCCUAACUGUCUCCCCCCUCUAAUCAAUAAAACUGAUCUUCUCGUGAAGAAGCGAGAAUAAAAAUAUAAGACGAGAAGACCCUAUGGAGCUUUAAACCCAUCAUCACCUGCUAACUUAACAUCAAAAUAACCGGCAGUCCUGUUACCGAUGGUUUUCGGCUGGGGUGGCCCUGGAGUAAAGCAAACCCUCCAGACUGAAUGGUUUAACUACCUAAUCAGAGAACUACAAUUCAAAGAAUCAAAACUUUGACAUUAUUGACCCAAUAAAUUGAUCAACGAACCAAGUUACCCUAGGGAUAACAGCGCAAUCCAUUUCAAGAGCCCCUAUCGACAAAUGGGUUUACGACCUCGAUGUUGGAUCGGGGUAUCCUAGCGGCGCAGCUGCUGCUAAAGGUUCGUUUGUUCAACGAUUAAUAACCCCACGUGAUCU
Molecule: ribosomal RNA, 537 nt
Filed under: Kassina kuvangensis
Lineage: Eukaryota; Metazoa; Chordata; Amphibia; Anura; Hyperoliidae
Description: partial large subunit ribosomal RNA
Rfam family: Bacterial large subunit ribosomal RNA
Source: RNAcentral